GUCACAGACUAACCCAUUCUUCCACUCUUAGGUAAAUUCUUAAAUCCCAACCUUCCACCGAAGUAUACAAUAUAUCAAUUAGAAUAAAUAAAUACAUAAAUACAUUUCACAUUUUCAUAUUAAUAAAUAGUUCACACUUUAAUGUUACACCAAACCCAAUAUUAUAAAAACCCAGAAACCCCAAGCACAAAAAGAUUGACCACACUGUCUUUACCAAUGGUCUCUCCCGGAACCUUUACAUGGUGUCUAGACCCCCGGGGAAACAUUUGCCCAAACACCUUGAAGAGGACACAGGCAAGAAAGUCUUCUCCAGAUGAGCCCUCUGGUUGUUGGCAUGACCUGAGUGGGGGAAAAAGCGUUGUCCUGACACCGAUCAAGUGGAGCUGGAGAACUUGUUUUACCAGUGCCUGACUCGACAGCGCCGCCUCAUGGAAAUUAACAUAAACAUCGACCUACCAGCCAGGCGACGAUGAACCAGAACCUGAGAAUUCAGGACACCAGGAGAGAUGAGUCCUCCAUCACAGAUGGUGUGGUCAGUGAGGAUGGUCACCUGCGGGUUCAAGGUCAUUGCAUUUCCAACCCACAUCCACUUCCACUGUACUUAAGGGAAGUUGGGACAAUGUUAAAGACUUUCUUCUGCACUUACAUUAGGAUCACCUAAAUCCAUGACGGUCAUUCAGGCAGUAAUACCAGGACCACAAGCCAUCAUUAAAAUAUUACAACAUACAACCUUCUGUGUUUGAAUGCAAAACAAAUAUGUUGUUUGAUCUAGAGACUGCACUUGUGGCUGAACAAUAAAUACAUUUUAUUUUGAUUAUAUAAGAAAUGUAACUUGCAAUACAAAGUAAUCGGGAGUAUAAACAUAGUUUCACAAUAAUUAAAUCUGAGACUUUGUUAAUAACCUUAUACUGAAACAAUGAUGGCAAUGUAAUUGUUUGUUGUUCAGUAGAACAGUGUCCAGUAUGUUGGCUGAUAUGCGUUUUUGCAUUUGAAAAUAAAAGUUGGGCUGAUUUUAACACCACAAGAAGUGUUAAUUAGUCUUUUUGAAUCAUACUUACAUUUAUAUAACAAUGAAUAUAAGUGUUGUACUAGAAAUUUCAAGGAUGAUAAAACA
This is a long non-coding RNA of Oreochromis niloticus (Nile tilapia), 1114 nucleotides long. RefSeq lists it as uncharacterized. The record is from RefSeq and is a predicted model, not a curated record. Lineage: Eukaryota; Metazoa; Chordata; Actinopteri; Cichliformes; Cichlidae. The transcript has 3 exons.